RNAcentral lists this ribosomal RNA (318 nucleotides) under uncultured Mucorales. RNAcentral describes it as "eukaryotic LSU rRNA". The stretch from base 1 to 82 matches the Rfam family "5.8S ribosomal RNA", at positions 73 to 154 of the family's 154-position model. The record is from RNAcentral. Lineage: Eukaryota; Fungi; Mucoromycota; Mucoromycetes; Mucorales.
UGUAGUGUGAGUGAAUCAUCGAAUCUUUGAACGCAACUCGCGCUUAAGGCCAAUUACCUUAAGCACACUUGUUUGAGUGUCGGUGAGUAAUAUAAUUCAUUUUAAUGAGUUUCAGUUAUCUAUUCAUCUGGAUAAUCGUUACUUUAAAAUAAUUACAAGUUGAUCUUUUUAAUCAAAUACUACUAUUAUGUAGCAAAGUAUUAUACUUUAAUUCAUUUUAGAAGAAUAGAAAAAAAGCAUCAAAAUCACCUCUUUAUCAUCUCGACCUCAAAUCAAGUGAGAUUACCGGCUGAACUUAAGCAUAUCAAUAAGCGGAGG